UACGUAGGUGGCAAGCGUUGUCCGGAAUUAUUGGGCGUAAAGGGCGUGUAGGUGGAUUUUUAAGUCGUGUGUCUAAGUGCGGGGCUCAACCCCGUAUAGGCGCAGGAAACUGGGAAUCUUGAGUGCAGGAGAGGAAAGUGGAAUUCCCAGUGUAGCGGUGAAAUGCGUAGAUAUUGGGAGGAACACCAGUGGCGAAGGCGACUUUCUGGACUGUGUCUGACACUGAGGCGCGAAAGCUAGGGGAGCGAACGGG
RNAcentral lists this ribosomal RNA (253 nucleotides) under uncultured bacterium. RNAcentral describes it as "partial 16S ribosomal RNA". It matches the Rfam family "Bacterial small subunit ribosomal RNA", at positions 524 to 776 of the family's 1533-position model. The record is from RNAcentral.